This 253-nucleotide ribosomal RNA is filed under the name uncultured bacterium. RNAcentral's name for it is "partial 16S ribosomal RNA". It matches the Rfam family "Bacterial small subunit ribosomal RNA", at positions 524 to 776 of the family's 1533-position model. The record is from RNAcentral.
UACGUAGGCAGCAAGCGUUGUUCGGAAUUACUGGGCGUAAAGCGAGUGUAGGCGGUUUGCCAAGUCCGUUGUGAAAUCUCCCGGCUCAACUGGGAGGGUGCGCCGGAAACUGGCAGGCUAGAGUGCGGUAUGGGAGAGUGGAAUUCCUGGUGUAGCGGUGAAAUGCGUAGAUAUCAGGAGGAACACCGGUGGUGAAGACGGCUCUCUGGACCGUUACUGACGCUGAGACUCGAAAGCGUGGGGAGCAAACAGG